CUCUAUUUAUAGACAUAGGGUUGGCUUACAUGUCCCAAGGCUGAUUGAAUUCCUAUUUCUAAGUGGACUAGGAAAUUACACUAUACAAAUCCAAAUAGACUUCUAGAAAUCUAAACCUAAAUUGAAUAAGGAAACUGAAAUUCUUUCCUAAUCCUUCUAGGACAAGAAUCGGUAUACCUCUAGGUUUCCUAAAACAAUCCUAAACCAACUAGGACAUAUUUGACGAGCCAAAAUCCUAACACCAUGCACGCUCAUGGCUCUUUCAUCUCAGGAGGCCAUGACUGACGACGGAAUAACAAAAAAUACCAAAGAAAGAUCAAAUUCCAAAAAAAACCCAAAUCGAAAUGAACCCUAGAAAUUGAAAUUCAGAAUUGAAAAUUCAAAUUGGGGGAGCUCUGAUAUUUUACCUAAAUAGCAACUUAGGAGUUGCCACUGCACCACUAAUUCACAACUAAGUCGUAGCCAUAUCCAUUCCUCAACAAUCUUUGAAUUUUAAUUAAAAUAGAAAAAAUAUUAGAAAAUGGUUAAAGAUAAGUUGUAUAACGCAGGCAAAUCCAUUCCUCAGCAAUCUUUCAAUUUUAAUUAAAAAAAAAAUUGUUAAUGAUAGGUUACACACCUGACCCAGAAAGCGUUUGCAAACUCCCAAAACAAACCCCUAAAAUUAGAAGAUAAACGUUUCCUGCAACAAAAAAUGAAAUCAAACAAAAGAUCCACACACAAAUCAGCAAAAAAUAAAGAAAGCAUUUAGCAAGAAUCGAAUUUUACAACAAUCAAUUAAAAAAAUCUCUCCAUAUGAAAUGUUCCAUUUGUCCUAAUAAUAUUAGGUUAUAUAUAUGUGUGUGUGUGUGUAGCAAUAAGAUUACACAAUACAGCAGUUUUGUGUAGAUCCAAAUACAUGUAGGUGUUUCUUUCAUUCAUCUUUUCAGACUUUUCAUUAAUGGCAAUUUUCAUUAAUUGUUUGAGCUCUACUGUACCGUUCUUUGAUCGUUAUCGUUAUAUCAAUUGCUUUCUGGUGUUCAUGUCAGACAACUCCUAUGAUAUCCGAU
This 1046-nucleotide long non-coding RNA is filed under the name Malus domestica (apple). RNAcentral describes it as "long non-coding RNA (MDOM_LNC013459)". The record is from RNAcentral. Lineage: Eukaryota; Viridiplantae; Streptophyta; Magnoliopsida; Rosales; Rosaceae.